This is a long non-coding RNA of Cyprinus carpio (common carp), 589 nucleotides long. RefSeq lists it as uncharacterized. Lineage: Eukaryota; Metazoa; Chordata; Actinopteri; Cypriniformes; Cyprinidae. The record is from RefSeq and is a predicted model, not a curated record.
CUUAUGUUGACACGUUGUGAUGACUCUUAUGAAGCGGAAUUCAAUCUGCUGCGCGAGCAUUUUAGGCUGCGUUUACACUUGGCGUUAGCAGGCGACCUGUAUCAGGAUGUCGUCAAUUUAUGGGACACAGACCUGCCUGAUGCCUCGCUGAAGCGGUUGGUAACUACAGUGACUCUCCGGCACUGCUCAAAAUCAACCUGAUUUUGAUCCAUAUCAAUCAGCACAAAGAUUCAGCAAGUGCAAAAUGCCACGAUCAAAGGAAAUUCCAGAAGAUGUAAAAGAAAAGAUCAUUUUUUACUAUAAGUCUGGCAAGGGUUACAAAGCUGUGUCUAAAAUUAUGGGACUGCAUCGAUCCACUGUCAGAACUAUAAUUUCCAAAUGGAAAACACAUGGAACAGUGAUGAAUCGUCCCAGGAGUGGUCGACCCACAAAAAUUUCACCACGGACACAACGUAAAAUCAUCCAAGAAGUCGCAAAGAAACCUGGAAUAACAUCCAAAGAACUGCAGGCAUCUCUUGCUUUAGCCAAAGUCAAAGUUCAUGACUCUACGAUCAGACGGAAACUGGGCCAAAUUAGGAAACACAAGAUA